This 433-nucleotide ribosomal RNA is filed under the name uncultured Parabacteroides sp. RNAcentral describes it as "bacterial SSU rRNA". It matches the Rfam family "Bacterial small subunit ribosomal RNA", at positions 354 to 784 of the family's 1533-position model. Lineage: Bacteria; Pseudomonadati; Bacteroidota; Bacteroidia; Bacteroidales; Tannerellaceae. The record is from RNAcentral.
UGAGGGAAUAUUGGUCAAUGGGCGAGAGCCUGAACCAGCCAAGUCGCGUGAGGGAUGACGGCCCUACGGGUUGUAAACCUCUUUUAUAAGGGAAUAAAGGACAUCACGUGUGGUGUUUUGCAUGUACCUUAUGAAUAAGCAUCGGCUAACUCCGUGCCAGCAGCCGCGGUAAUACGGAGGAUGCGAGCGUUAUCCGGAUUCAUUGGGUUUAAAGGGUGCGUAGGUGGCCGAUUAAGUCAGCGGUGAAAGUCAGUGGCUCAACCAUUGAAUUGCCGUUGAAACUGGUUGGCUUGAGUACGUACGGGGCAGGCGGAAUUCGUGGUGUAGCGGUGAAAUGCUUAGAUAUCACGAAGAACCCCGAUUGCGAAGGCAGCCUACCGUAGCGGCACUGACGCCGAGGCUCGAAAGCGUGGGUAUCGAACAGGAUUAGAUA